Molecule: unclassified non-coding RNA, 275 nt
Filed under: Hevea brasiliensis (rubber tree)
Lineage: Eukaryota; Viridiplantae; Streptophyta; Magnoliopsida; Malpighiales; Euphorbiaceae
Source: RNAcentral
GGAGGAGGUCCUGUGGCACCAGUAGUACUACUUUCAGAGGCAGUGGGGGCCGUAGGAACUGCCAUAAGUAAACCAAUGAGGUCUGUCAAUUAUUUUGUUUCAUCAGAAUCAGAAGAAUCAUAUGCAUCAGAAUCAUCUAAAGAUGAUUGUUCUGCAGGCAUAAUAGGUAAUUGGGUUGGUGGAGCAGGAGUGUGCUAAGAAAGCAUAUGUUGUGGUGGAGAUGGUAGAACAGAGCUCAUAGAAGCUUUGCCUUUAGUUGGAUCUCUGGGUAAAGA